This 439-nucleotide long non-coding RNA is filed under the name Homo sapiens (human). Its description in RNAcentral is "HSALNT0398221". Lineage: Eukaryota; Metazoa; Chordata; Mammalia; Primates; Hominidae. The record is from RNAcentral.
CACGCCCCGCUCUGACUCAGUUUCGCCUGCGGAGGACAGCAGGAUCAUCCCAGCCCUCAGGAGGGCCCGGAGGUUUGAAUGGAGUGGACCCCAACCCCAAGUGCGACCCCAGCCUGGCCAAUCAGACACAGUGACUGGUCAGCAUGUGACCUGGUGUGGCCAAUGAGAACCAGCCCCCAAAGACCACUGCUGCAACUCCGGGGAAAUUGGCAAACUUUCUCCACUGGGGAGGACAGGCUGCUGGGGUGUAAGCCUGGAGCUGCAAGUCUCCGCUACCUUAGGAGGAGACCCUGAAAGGUAAUGAAGCCAACUCGGAGAAAAUAAAAAGAGACCAUUCAUGAUGACAUCAUCUGACAACUAGAUGCAGCCAUGCCUUAAGACUCUAAACUCUUCAAUUACAUGGCCCAGUAAAUUCCCUGUUUUGUUUUCCCAGCUUGAA